Long non-coding RNA from Panicum virgatum (switchgrass), 1244 nucleotides. RefSeq lists it as uncharacterized. Lineage: Eukaryota; Viridiplantae; Streptophyta; Magnoliopsida; Poales; Poaceae. The record is from RefSeq and is a predicted model, not a curated record. The transcript is spliced from 7 exons.
AGCAGCAGCUGGCCAGCCCCUGUGCCUCUCUUUUCUGGGCAGAACAACAGCCCCAAAGGCAUCUUCUUGGGUUCGUGCUGUUCUUCGGCCUCACCCUGGUGCAUCUUGGUCAGUACUUCCCACAGGUGUCCGAUCUGAUUGGGCACGUCUCUUGCACUGGACAGCUAUCCAGGAAUUUCUGCGCCAUUUUUGGUCAUCAUAUCCUGUAACCAGUGCUGUCCUUUAUAAUAUGACAAAUAUAGUAUACCAACCAAUGUCGCUGCCUCUCUGCGGCGGGCGGGCGGCCUCUAGACAACCGGCAGCUCGGCCUCUGGGUAGCGUCCAGGUCCAGCGUUGUCUCAUCACCUCCUUCUUGCAACCGGUAGCUCAGAUCCUUCCAAGACAACCACAACAUGUUCGUGGUCACCUUGACCAUCUAUAAACUUCUUGUGAAGGAUAGCAGUGCAGUGGAGAAGCAGGAGCAGAUGUUACCUCAGGAUGGAGAAAUCAUUUAAUGUUUUAUGUGAAAGCUGAUUUGUUUCCUUUUGCCCAAAAGUUGGAUUCGGGUCAGCGAUUGGUCCAUAUGAUGCCUGUAAACCCCCGCAAGAUGGUCUUCGUGAGCACCCAAGAGAUAUUCGAGGUACCUCUCCGUCCUGAAGAAAGGCUCCAUAAUUCCUCUCACUGUAAACUGAAUGAGCCCAACGAAGGCCUUAAUGAUCUCAUGAAUGAUCCAGCUAACCAUGGUUCUAGUAAGCCAAAAAAAAACUUCUUUCUUUUUCCAUGUCUAUUUGAUUUGUUUGAUAUCUGAAAGCACACCAUCCAUCUGAUCGUAGAAGUCAAUUUUUCAUUCUUAUUGGUGAAUAUGACCUGCACAUGGAAUUUUCGUUUUUCUAUGACUCUCACAACUUUUUAUGCCUUUUCGUGCGAGGUGGUGUGGUAAGAAGCGCAUCGAAUUUGGAGCUAGCGGCUAGCCUCUUGCGGUGACGGACUAGGAGCAGUGUGCUCAAUGCUAUGUUGAUUUGAGAUUCUCCACUAGCACGUGGUAGCUUGUUCAAAAUGAUUUUUGUGAUGAAUUCGAGAUCCUAUGCCUAGGAUGUGAUCGUGUGAAAACAGAUGGAAUGCAAUUUUUUACAAUUGUAACCAAACGGUUCUAUAUUUUCGUGACUAUGGCUUUUUAUACGAAGCCACAAUUGUUCAUGGAACCAUAAUUGGGGAUAUUGUGUUGAUGGUAUUAUUUUCUAGCAAGAUUCUCAGAUUUACAACUA